AUGUCUUAACUUGAGGAGGACAAUAAGCAACAAGUGACAUUAAACAACAGGCUCAAAUGGAGACUUAUGUUGCUGAACCAACAAAAGAAGGUAAAGAUCUGCACACUCCUCUCCAAGCUAUAGCUCAUGUUCUGCCGAAAUCAACGUUUCUUCGCAAUGUCGGCCUACAGUCCACAGAGAUGUGCUGCUACUGCCGUGGGUGUUGUGCUGUUACUACAGUUGUGUUGCUGCUGCACUUAUGUUCCAGCAAGUUGAAAUUUGAGACUUAUCUGAUGUGUAAUGAAUUGGUGGAUGGAUGUAAUGGUAUUGAAUUUGAAUCUGAUUUGGUA
This is a long non-coding RNA of Sorghum bicolor (sorghum), 329 nucleotides long. RefSeq lists it as uncharacterized. The transcript has 2 exons. The record is from RefSeq and is a predicted model, not a curated record. NCBI's taxonomy places the organism in Eukaryota, Viridiplantae, Streptophyta, Magnoliopsida, Poales, Poaceae.